Molecule: long non-coding RNA, 569 nt
Organism: Girardinichthys multiradiatus
Lineage: Eukaryota; Metazoa; Chordata; Actinopteri; Cyprinodontiformes; Goodeidae
Exons: 3
Source: RefSeq, a predicted model, not a curated record
CUUCCCUGUGUGUUAUUACAAGGUUGCCGCCAGCGAAGCUCCAGCCCUGGAUAAUCCUUUGUGGUUCUGGUUCUUCUUCCUGUUGGCGGUCAACACACCUGUUCCUGGACAACCUGUUGUGGUUAGGCUCCUGCUCCAAGGUGAAUACUUCGCUGAAUUUACCUCAGUCCGAGAACUGCUCCGGAUCUGCCAGAUCUAACUUCAAGAUCACUUCUCUGCCCGGCCUGUCCACCCUUCCAUUGCUUGGAGGAACACGUUCACGUGGCACGCUGCCUGUCAGUUUCAGUGGCUUGCUCACUUCCCCAGAAUCAACAACCUCGUCCACAACCUGGAAGAGUGGCAAGAAGAAACCCAUCCUUGAACAUUGUCCUCUUGAUGAACUAUUGCUGCCACCACUUCCUCCCGGUCCACCAUGGAAACACUGUUUUUGCCAAAUGGUAAGAUUUUUACUCCAGAUUUUACCAACAGUCUCUUUGGUUGUGAUUGUAAUGGAAUGUUUUUCUUUUAUUACCUCUCUGUAUAUAUUCUGCUUUAUUUUUCCUUAUCAGCAUGUUGUGAUUAUGAAUAUU